Molecule: long non-coding RNA, 243 nt
Filed under: Lathyrus oleraceus (garden pea)
Lineage: Eukaryota; Viridiplantae; Streptophyta; Magnoliopsida; Fabales; Fabaceae
Description: Pisum sativum (pea) long non-coding RNA (PSAT_LNC000218)
Source: RNAcentral
GUUUGAUAGUGGAUCCUAAGUGAAACACUUGAGCUUUCUUUUCUUUUUGCCUUUUUUUAUCUUCUUUCUUCUUUGAGUUUAGAAAAAUUGUGCUUCAUGCCUUUAAAGUUUGAUUUUGUAUCAACACUCUAACAUGAUUGCCACAUACAUUACCUGCCUCAUAAUCACUAACUUGUUACAUCUAACCUCCUAACAUUUACUUUAUACAAUUUACUUUUGUGCCUUUACUUUCAUUGCAUUUAC